GUGGCUUCCGGCCUUUUGGCUAGAUCAAGUGUAGUAUCUGUUCUUAUCAGUUUAAUAUCUGAUAUGUCCUCUAUCAGGGGCGACGUACUAUAUAAUGGAUUUUUGCCCAAUGGGAGUUGAAAGGGGGGCUUGUCCCUUCACUCCGCACGCUCGACCCGGUAUUGCAAGCGCCGCCGAACGCGGUGCACCUUAU
Perca fluviatilis (European perch) is the source of this 193-nucleotide small nuclear RNA. RefSeq annotates it as U2 spliceosomal RNA. Lineage: Eukaryota; Metazoa; Chordata; Actinopteri; Perciformes; Percidae. The transcript has a single exon. The record is from RefSeq and is a predicted model, not a curated record.